UACGUAGGGGGCAAGCGUUGUCCGGAUUUAUUGGGCGUAAAGAGCGUGUAGGCGGCUUUACAGGUCCGUUGUGAAAACUCGAGGCUCAACCUCGAGACGCCGGUGGAAACCGUAAAGCUAGAGUCCGGAAGAGGAGAGUGGAAUUCCUGGUGUAGCGGUGAAAUGCGCAGAUAUCAGGAGGAACACCCGUGGCGAAAGCGGCUCACUGGACCACAACUGACGCUGAUGCGCGAAAGCUAGGGGAGCAAACAGG
RNAcentral lists this ribosomal RNA (253 nucleotides) under uncultured bacterium. Its description in RNAcentral is "partial 16S ribosomal RNA". It matches the Rfam family "Bacterial small subunit ribosomal RNA", at positions 524 to 776 of the family's 1533-position model. The record is from RNAcentral.